AAAAAGAUAAGCUAACUAAGCUUCUGGGCUCAUACCCCAUCUAUAAAGGUAACAAUCCUUUUCUUUUUA
This 69-nucleotide transfer RNA is filed under the name Holotrichia sp. NS-2020. Its description in RNAcentral is "tRNA-Met". It matches the Rfam family "tRNA". From Rfam's summary of the family: Transfer RNA (tRNA) molecules are approximately 80 nucleotides in length. Their secondary structure includes four short double-helical elements and three loops (D, anti-codon, and T loops). Further hydrogen bonds mediate the characteristic L-shaped molecular structure. tRNAs have two regions of fundamental functional importance: the anti-codon, which is responsible for specific mRNA codon recognition, and the 3' end, to which the tRNAs corresponding amino acid is attached (by aminoacyl-tRNA synthetases). tRNAs cope with the degeneracy of the genetic code in two manners: having more than one tRNA (with a specific anti-codon) for a particular amino acid; and 'wobble' base-pairing, i.e. permitting non-standard base-pairing at the 3rd anti-codon position. The record is from RNAcentral. Lineage: Eukaryota; Metazoa; Arthropoda; Insecta; Coleoptera; Scarabaeidae.